GAUGAAGAACGCAGCGAAAUGCGAUAAGUAAUGUGAAUUGCAGAAUUCAGUGAAUCAUCGAAUCUUUGAACGCACCUUGCGCUCCUUGGUAUUCCGAGGAGCAUGCCUGUUUGAGUGUCAUGAAAUUCUCAACCUUUUCAGCUUUCUUUGUUGAUCAGGCUUGGAUGUGGGAGUAUGCGGGCUUCUCAGAAGUCGGCUCUCCUGAAAUGCAUUAGCGGGACCUUUGUUGCCUGGCUUUGGUGUGAUAAUUAUCUACGCCAUUGUAGUCAAACAGCUUAAAAUGAGGUUUCAGCUUCUAACCGUCUCCCCUGAGACAACUUUUUGACAAUUUGACCUCAAAUCAGGUAGGACUACCCGCUGAACUUAAGCAUAUCAAUAAGCGGAGGA
RNAcentral lists this unclassified non-coding RNA (387 nucleotides) under soil metagenome. Its description in RNAcentral is "partial contains 5.8S ribosomal RNA, internal transcribed spacer 2, and large subunit ribosomal RNA". The stretch from base 1 to 120 matches the Rfam family "5.8S ribosomal RNA", at positions 35 to 154 of the family's 154-position model. The record is from RNAcentral.